CUGCUUUUCUGACUGGGUGUGUUCUUAUCUGUUUCUUCUCUCUUUUGCUCAUUUUGCUUUUAUCUCCAACUUUACAAGCAACGAUGUCAGUGGUGCUUUCCAGGUUCACCCCCCACAGCUGGGGGAAAGAAAGUGCAUGAAAAGUUCAUCCAACGGAUUUGGAGUGGACAGUUUUUCCUUUGUUUCAAAACUCCACUAGAUUCUGCAGGUGCUGAUUUCCUCCUUCCUGGUCUAGGGACCACAAGCAGGGAUUUAAUUUUGAUGAGUAACAUGAUAUGGUCAAGAAAAAGAACACCCUAGAUGAGGUAAAUUGUAAAUUAUGUUAGAUGAGAAAAUAAACAGCUUAGAGACAAAAGGGUCACAAAUCUGGAAAUCAGAUAACACAGGGCAUCAGAUUGAGGGGAGAUGGAUAAAGAAGUUUUAUAUCCUAAUUUUGCAUAAAUCUGGGGAAUUUUGAGAGACUGGCUCACAUCUCUAAACCCAUACACAAUCUGAAUUAUUUUCUAAUUUUGUUUUCUUUUUGUGUGAAAACACACAGAUUUUUCUUAAAUUCUGUAUAUAUUUGGCAACCUGAAGGGAAUUAUGAAAGGAAUCAACUUUCCUUCUCUAUCUUAGCUGCCUUUUGCUCCUGGUGCUCCUUUUUAGCAUCAGUUGAAAGCAGCACUCACCAUUUUUACUGACUUGAGUUUACUCUUAUGGGCAAUAAGAAAACUAUAGGUCAUUCGUAUCUUUAUUGAAUAUGAAGAUUCUAUUCCUCUUUCUCAUUCUUGUCCUUAUCCAAUCUCUACCUCCUCUUUUGACAACAUCAUGAAUUUCUUCCUGAAGCCCCUGUCUUGAAUGCAGGGACAGCAAGCAGCAGGCAGAAAAUAUCAUUUCUCUUUCAGUUGACUUGACUUAAAGACAGUAAACUCAGGAUCCUUUCAUUAUUCUCUAGUGUUUUACCUCCAGCAUCCCCUUUAUUGGUUUUACUCCUUAAGACUUUUUAACAGAGAUCAGUGAAUUCCUGAAAAUUGCUGACACAACUUUGUACACUUAGGCUUAAGUGGAUUUAGUGGUAAGGAGAGGGCAUAGAGCUUUCAUUACAUUUUCAAAGGAUUAAGUGGUUAAAAUAAGGAAAUCAAGCCAGUCAAUCCUAGAGAAAAUCAACCCUGAAUCUUCACUGGAAGAACUGACGCUGAAGCUGAAGCUCCAAUACCUUGGCCACCUAAUGCGAAAACCUGGCUCGUUGGAAAAGACCCUGAUGCUGGGAAAGAUUGAGGGCAGGAGCAAAAGAGGGCAACAGAGGACGAAAUGGUUGGAUAGCAUCACUGACUCAAUGCACAUGAGUUUGAGUAAACUCAGGGAGAUAAUGAAGGCCAGGGAAGCCUGAAGUGCUGCAGUCCAUGGGGUUGCAAAGAGUCAGACAUGACUUGGAGACUGAACAGGAACUAUUGUGAUACCCACAAGGGAAGCUAAUCUGUUUAGUCUUAGUGUGUUUAAGGUUAAUUAGAUUAAAUCCAUGGGUCACCAUUCAAGCUCAUUCAUUGGCUUCUGGAAGUACUGUCUGUGGGGUCUUCUGGAUUCUCCAAGGUCUGCGAAACAAAGGCAAUGGGAAGAAGGAAGUAGCAGAGCCCUCCAUCAGUUGAUGCUAAACACUUACAGGCCCUGCAUACUGCAUUUCACCCCUCACCCUGCCUCCUAUGUACUACCUCUUACCCCAGCCUGGUAUCAGCCUAUAAGGUGCUGGAUGGUUAAUUCACCAAAGGGGAAAAUUGCUGCCUUGCUGAACUGGUUACUCUUUUAUCUGUUCACUGUUAAAUGAGAGCACGAGCCAGAACUCUAGUUUCCAUUCUGGAGUCUUCUGGGUUCAUGUGCAUAAAGCAGUUGUCCCCGUGGGAGAGGAAAAAUAGACAAACAUUUUUACUUCCUUUUGUUGAUACUGCUUUUGGUGGGAAAACUCUGAGAACUGGGGAAUUUUUACUUUCAUUGGAGAAAUGUUUGUGGAGCACCUGUCUGUUGCAAGCACUGGGCCAGAAGUUGGCACAUGGUGUGAACAAAGCAGAUGUGGUCUCUGACCUUGUGGAAUUUCCAGUCAGUCUUCUGUCAGUUGGAGGAAGAAGAGAGAAACAUGGUUGUUCAGAAAUCUAAUAAUCUCUUUGGAAAAUCCUCAAACACAGCAUUACUAUUCCACACACACUUGUGUGGACAAGCUCAUUGCUCUAUCAAGCUUCCCGGGAAAGAAGGAAGAUGUUGAAUCAAGCUGCAUUCUUUAUAAGCUAUGUACUUGCUCAGAGGUGGACAGACUUUCCCUACUGUAUCCUCCCUUCCUUAGGGUUCUCUUCCCAAGGAAGUCUAAACUAAUCAAGACUCAUGAGGGAUGAAGAAAUGUCAUUGAAUCAUACAAAGCUGGUUUUGUGUCCCAGGGUUCUGAAAAAAAGUCGUUUCGACUCCCUUUUGUAAAUGUGCUUUUAGACCAGGACCAGAACUAUCAGCUCCACUAAUACUUAGAUAUAUGAACAUGGAGACAUUGUUGAGUUUCCUCAUGAGUAAAAUGAGGACAUUAUUAUUUGUCCUAUUGUUGUGAUUAAAACACAUACACACAGUCUCUGGUAUCAAGCAAAUAGAAGUGAUACUUAAGGUAUUUGGGGUCACUAAACAAAACUUUCUGCAAUGGAAGUUUUCUCCCCAAACCAUAGAUGUUCCCAUUCUGAAAUACCAUUACUCUUGGUCUAAUUUUCAACAACUCUUUAUCAAAAAAUUUAAUUUAAAUCCUGUAUAAAUAUUUAAAUUAGUUAUUUCUUCAAGUAUUCUGGAAUUCCAUAGCUACUAAGACUCUGUACUCCAGAUUUUCAAUCUGAAA
Bos taurus (domestic cattle) is the source of this 2839-nucleotide long non-coding RNA. NCBI's taxonomy places the organism in Eukaryota, Metazoa, Chordata, Mammalia, Artiodactyla, Bovidae. The record is from Ensembl.